UGAGGAAUAUUGGUCACUGGACGAGAGUCUGAACCAGCCAAGUAGCGUGCAGGAUGACGGCCCUAUGGGUUGUAAACUGCUUUUAUAAGGGAAUAAAGUGAGAGUCGUGACUCUUUUUGCAUGUACCUUAUGAAUAAGGACCGGCUAAUUCCGUGCCAGCAGCCGCGGUAAUACGGAAGGUCCGGGCGUUAUCCGGAUUUAUUGGGUUUAAAGGGAGCGUAGGCCGGAGAUUAAGCGUGUUGUGAAAUGUAGAUGCUCAACAUCUGAACUGCAGCGCGAACUGGUUUCCUUGAGUACGCACAAAGUGGGCGGAAUUCGUGGUGUAGAGGUGAAAUGCUUAGAUAUCACGAAGAACUCCGAGUGCGAAGGCAGCUCACUGGAGCGCAACUGACGCUGAAGCUAGAAAGUGCGGGUCUAGAACA
RNAcentral lists this ribosomal RNA (422 nucleotides) under uncultured bacterium. RNAcentral describes it as "bacterial SSU rRNA". It matches the Rfam family "Bacterial small subunit ribosomal RNA", at positions 355 to 774 of the family's 1533-position model. The record is from RNAcentral.